This 369-nucleotide long non-coding RNA is filed under the name Papio anubis (olive baboon). Its description in RNAcentral is "lncRNA (ENSPANG00000050513.1)". Lineage: Eukaryota; Metazoa; Chordata; Mammalia; Primates; Cercopithecidae. The record is from RNAcentral.
AUUGUCAGCUAUGAAUCAGUUACUUAUUUAUUCGAUAAGCUUCAUAAAAGUAGACAUUUUCAUCUGUCUUGUUCACUGCUGUAUCUGUAUCCCAGCACCUAGAAUGUCUGGCAUAUGCAGGUGCAGUUGCUGUGUUGAAUGAUAUGCACAAGUUCUAAAUAACUGGAUCUUGCCAAGGCAAAUGCUUCAAUCUACAUGCCUAAAAACUGUGUGUGAGACUUCCUUGUGCUCCACAGCCUUACCACCAUUUGAAAUUGUCCAACUUUGAAAUUUGGAUCGGUAAGAACUAUAUCAAUUUUAUUGUUAUUUUGAGUACUACAGCUCAGUUCAAUACAUAGAUUGACCUUUUUGGUUUCUUUUCUGUGAAUU